GCAGAGGAAAAGCGCUGAGGGGAAAAUGCCGCUUAAAAAGACAGACCACCACCCCCUGCUGUCCACCGGAGCUGAGGGAGCUGCGCCUGAGCGAGGUCCUUGUAACCUGUCUGAUAUUGAAAGCACAACAGGUGAUUUAAAAUUGCCAGGAAGAGAUGGGUCCCUUCAGUAAAUCAUGAAGUUGUAGCUGAGCUUCCACAGUGACUGGAGCUGAUCUGAACCAGGGCUACCUUACUCUCACUCUCUUCCUGUAAUCCACAAGAAGAAACUACUGAUGAGAGGUGGCCAGAUAACAGAAACUACACCAGAGUUUGAAUAAGGGAGCACUGUUCCUUGGAAACUGCUGGAAACAUUCAUCUGCCCUUCCUUUGGGCUGAAACUCAGCAGAAAGACUGGGAGCCCUUUUGGUGGAGUGGCAGGAGCUGCUGGUUAAAACUGAGAGCGGAGCCCAGCCACCAGUCCCUCAUCGUGACUUAGACGGAUAAUUAGUCAGGUAAAGCUGUUUCAGACAGAGCAGAUCUCACAGAAGACUGGAUUCACUGAGGAAGAUGUUCCUGCUACAGAAUGUUUAGACAUUUCACUGGAAAGCAGAAAUGCCUCUGACAAAAGGAUAGAUGCUGUGCCAUGUGUUAACCCAAUGCUACACACAAGGAAUUCUGCUGGAGAGCCCAGGAGGUGACACCCUAAUGUGUCUGCCAUUGUCCUGUUGCUUUGUCUUUACAAUAAGUUCUCUAAAGCCUCCAUGUGUCACCAGCCUAAUGAGAAUCCACAACCAGCACAGGGUGGAGGCACCCAGAAUUACACUCUUAAAAUGUGGCAUAUCCCUUUUGUUCAAUAUUUCAUUUAUUGGGCAAUAUAGCUGAGGUUUUGGCUUUCAGUCAAAAACAAAGAUUUUCCCAAAAAGAGAAAUUGGAUGAGGAAUUAAAGAAACUCCACUAAGUGACCAAAACACCUCCCAAGCACCAUUUUCCACGAUUCAUAUUUGGAAGAAUUAAAUGCGGUUUUAGUGCAAGGAAUAACUGUAUGCUAGCCCUAGGGUUAUGAACUGGAUAAGCUAUUAGGAAUUUUCCAUUUCUGACUGACUGUGAUCUCACAUCAGUGUAACUCUGCUCACUUCAGUGGAAUUACUUCAGAAUUGCUCUGAUGGGAAAGCAGAAUGAGGUCCUGUGAUUCUAUAACUAUUUCAACUAAGCUGUUUGCAUAUGCCUGAGAGAAGCAGCUCUUAAGAAAAUAUAGUGGAAUUUAGAGCCCGUUUUUCAUCAGUUCAGUUAAUCAGUUUACUUUGGUCUACUGAUCACUUCUGCUGCUUUGCAUGUGAUUGUCCUUAUAAGUGAGGUCAGUUUUAUAGGAUAGGAAAAUACCCUUUAUAAGUCCAGAUGGUAUCAUUAGAAGAAACAUACAAGUUGGGCACUUCUAAAGUUUUUUCUUUUCGUCUUUCUGAAGACAAAUUUAAACAGUAAUUAAGGAUUUAUUGUUCUAUGUUAUAGUUUAUAAGAAAUUACAGAUUGUUGUUAUAAGGCCCUAAGAUCUUGAUUUCUUUUGCUUCUGUCAAUAGGGAAUUACUGCUGACCUGUUGAGCAGGUCCUUGAAGGUUUGUAGAAACACUGCAAGAUCCUCAUUUACACCAUGGCAUAUGGUUCCCAUCCAACUAGAAUCACAGAAACACAGAAUACCCUGAACUGGACACAAGAAUCAUCGAGUCCAGCUCCAGGAGAAUAAGAACAGCAACACACCAGUGUUUUAUGAAGGAGCGCCUUGAGUUCCCUGUCCUGGAAUAGGAUCACAAAAUGCAGAGCUGUUCAACAGGGAAGUGGAUUUCAGUGCUUACUUGGCUACACUGGGAGUCUGAGGAGACUGAGCAGAAAGGGUGGGAAGGGCAGGAGAUCCUUCUCACCACCUCUUUCCUGUAUGGAAUAUUCAGUAUAUACAUAAUAGCAGGAUCUUAGCAAUAAAUUCACAAAGUGGCAGAAUAA
Sturnus vulgaris (Common starling) is the source of this 1973-nucleotide non-coding RNA. The record is from RefSeq and is a predicted model, not a curated record. NCBI's taxonomy places the organism in Eukaryota, Metazoa, Chordata, Aves, Passeriformes, Sturnidae.